This 254-nucleotide ribosomal RNA is filed under the name uncultured bacterium. Its description in RNAcentral is "partial 16S ribosomal RNA". It matches the Rfam family "Bacterial small subunit ribosomal RNA", at positions 524 to 776 of the family's 1533-position model. The record is from RNAcentral.
CACGUAGGCACCAAGCGUUGUCCGGAUUUAUUGGGCGUAAAGAGCUCGUAGGCGGUUCAGUAAGUCAGGUGUGAAAUCUUUGGGCUUAACCCAAAGCGUGCAUUUGAUACUGCUGUGACUUGAGUUCGGUAGGGGAGUGGGGAAUUCCUAGUGUAGCGGUGAAAUGCGCAGAUAUUAGGAGGAACACCGGUGGCGAAGGCGCCACUCUGGGCCGAAACUGACGCUGAGGAGCGAAGGCGUGGGUAGCAAACAGG